Molecule: ribosomal RNA, 497 nt
Filed under: uncultured bacterium
Lineage: Bacteria
Description: partial 16S ribosomal RNA
Rfam family: Bacterial small subunit ribosomal RNA
Source: RNAcentral
GAUGAACGCUGGCGGCGUGCCUAAUACAUGCAAGUCGAGCGAACAGACGAGGAGCUUGCUCCUCUGACGUUAGCGGCGGACGUGUGAGUAACACGUGGAUAACCUACCUAUAAGACUGGGAUAACUUCGGGAAACCGGCGCUAAUAGCGUAUAAUAUAUUGAACCGCAUGGUUCAAUAGUGAGAGACGGUGUUUGUGUCACUUAUAGAUGGAUCCGCGCCGCAUUAGCUAGUUGGUAAGGUAACGGCUUACCAAGGCGACGAUGCGUAGACGACCUGAGAGGGUGGUCGGCCACACUGGAACUGAGACACGGUCCAGACUCCUACGGGACGCAGCAGUAGGGAAUCUUCCGCAGUGGGCGAAAGCCUGGCGGAGCAACGCCGCGUGAGUGAUGAAGGUCUUCGGAUCGUAAAAAUCUGUUAUUAGGGAAGAACAAAUGUGUAAGUAACUAUGCACGUCUUGACGGUACCUAAUCAGAAAGCAACGGCUAACUACGUG